AGUCGCAGGGUAACAUGAGGAAAGCUUGCUUUCCUUGAUGACGACUGGCGCACGGGUGAGUAACGCGUAUCCAACCUUCCCAUAACUACGGGAUAACCCGUUGAAAGACGGCCUAAUACCGUAUGAUAUCGUUUGCUGACAUCAAAUAACGAUUAAAGGUUUAGCGGUUAUGGAUGGGGAUGCGUCUGAUUAGCUUGUUGGCGGGGUAACGGCCCACCAAGGCUACGAUCAGUAGGGGUUCUGAGAGGAAGGUCCCCCACAUUGGAACUGAGACACGGUCCAAACUCCUACGGGAGGCAGCAGUGAGGAAUAUUGGUCAAUGGGCGAGAGCCUGAACCAGCCAAGUAGCGUGCAGGAUGACGGCCCUAUGGGUUGUAAACUGCUUUUAUGUGGGGAUAAAGUGCGUGACGUGUCAUGCAUUGCAGGUACCACAUGAAUAAGGACCGGCUAAUUCCGUGCCAGCAGCCGCGGUAAUACGGAAGGUCCGGGCGUUAUCCGGAUUUAUUGGGUUUAAAGGGAGCGUAGGCUGUCUAUUAAGCGUGUUGUGAAAUUUACCGGCUCAACCGG
RNAcentral lists this ribosomal RNA (567 nucleotides) under uncultured bacterium. RNAcentral describes it as "bacterial SSU rRNA". It matches the Rfam family "Bacterial small subunit ribosomal RNA", at positions 60 to 616 of the family's 1533-position model. The record is from RNAcentral.